CUUUGGGAUAACCCUCGGAAACGGGGGCUAAUACCGGGUAUGACUGCGCUCCGCAUGGGGUGUGGUGGAAAGUGUUUAGCGGCUGGGGAUGGGCUCGCGGCCUAUCAGCUUGUUGGUGGGGUGAUGGCCUACCAAGGCGGUGACGGGUAGCCGGCCUGAGAGGGCGACCGGCCACACUGGGACUGAGACACGGCCCAGACUCCUACGGGAGGCAGCAGUGGGGAAUAUUGCGCAAUGGGCGGAAGCCUGACGCAGCGACGCCGUGUGGGGGAUGACGGCCUUCGGGUUGUAAACCUCUUUCAGCUCCGACGAAGCGUAAGUGACGGUAGGGGCAGAAGAAGCACCGGCCAACUACGUGCCAGCAGCCAGGGUAAGACGUAGGGUGCAAGCGUUGUCCGGAUUUAUUGGGCGUAAAGAGCUCGUAGGCGGCUCGUCGCGUCGACCGUGAAAACCCGGGGCUUAACUUCGGGCUUGCGGUCGAUACGGGCGGGCUGGAGUUCGGUAGGGGAGACUGGAAUUCCUGGUGUAGCGGUGAAAUGCGCAGAUAUCAGGAGGAACACCGGUGGCGAAGGCGGGUCUCUGGGCCGAUACUGACGCUGAGGAGCGAAAGCGUGGGGAGCGAACAGGAUUAGAUACCCUGGUAGUCCACGCUGUAAACGUUGGGCGC
RNAcentral lists this ribosomal RNA (667 nucleotides) under uncultured Micromonosporaceae bacterium. RNAcentral describes it as "bacterial SSU rRNA". It matches the Rfam family "Bacterial small subunit ribosomal RNA", at positions 136 to 816 of the family's 1533-position model. The record is from RNAcentral. Lineage: Bacteria; Bacillati; Actinomycetota; Actinomycetes; Micromonosporales; Micromonosporaceae.